GUUUUUGCAUUUUCUCCGACACUCUGAAAGAUACAUAUAAAAGAACAAGUGCAAAAUGUCUGCUUUAUUGUAAUGAAGAUAUGCUACAUUUAGCCUGCUACAAUUAAAUGGCAUCUUAUAGGAGUUGGUGCCCCUGAAAUGUCUUGAUAUGAGGUUAUUUGAUUAUAACUUCAACUAAGUUCAUUAUAAAGGCAUUUGACCUUGUAUAAAAGGUUAG
Molecule: long non-coding RNA, 217 nt
Filed under: Mytilus galloprovincialis (Mediterranean mussel)
Lineage: Eukaryota; Metazoa; Mollusca; Bivalvia; Mytilida; Mytilidae
Source: RNAcentral